GAUGAACGCUGGCGGCGUGCCUAAUACAUGCAAGUCGAGCGAACGGACGAGAAGCUUGUUUCUCUGAUGUUAGCGGCGGACGGGUGAGUAACACGUGGAUAACCUACCUAUAAGACUGGGAUAACUUCGGGAAACCGGAGCUAAUACCGGAUAAUAUUUUGAACCGCAUGGUUCAAAAGUGAAAGACGGUCUUGCUGUCACUUAUAGAUGGAUCCGCGCUGCAUUAGCUAGUUGGUAAGGUAACGGCUUACCAAGGCAACGAUCCAUAGCCGCCCUGAGAGGGUGAUCGGCCACACUGGAACUGAGACACGGUCCAGACUCCUACGGGAGGCAGCAGUAGGGAAUCUUCCGCAAUGGGCGAAAGCCUGACGGAGCAACGCCGCGUGAGUGAUGAAGGUCUUCGGAUCGUAAAACUCUGUUAUUAGGGAAGAACAUAUGUGUAAGUAACUGUGCACAUCUUGACGGUACCUAAUCAGAAAGCCACGGCUAACUACGUG
Molecule: ribosomal RNA, 497 nt
Filed under: uncultured bacterium
Lineage: Bacteria
Description: partial 16S ribosomal RNA
Rfam family: Bacterial small subunit ribosomal RNA
Source: RNAcentral